UUCUGACUCAGGAUGAACGCUGGCGGCGUGCUUAACACAUGCAAGUCGAGCGAUGAAGCUUCUCGGAAGUGGAUUAGCGGCGGACGGGUGAGUAACACGUGGGUAACCUGCCUCAUAGAGGGGGAAUAGCCUUCCGAAAGGAAGAUUAAUACCGCAUAAGAUUGUAAUAUUGCAUGAUAUAGCAAUUAAAGGAGUAAUCCGCUAUGAGAUGGACCCGCGUCGCAUUAGCUAGUUGGUGAGGUAACGGCUCACCAAGGCGACGAUGCGUAGCCGACCUGAGAGGGUGAUCGGCCACAUUGGGACUGAGACACGGCCCAGACUCCUACGGGAGGCAGCAGUGGGGAAUAUUGCACAAUGGGGGAAACCCUGAUGCAGCAAACCGCCGCGUGAGUGAUGACGGUCUUCGGAUUGUAAAGCUCUGUCUUCAGGGACGAUAAUGACGGUACCUGAGGAGGAAGCCACGGCUAACUACGUGCCAGCAGCUGC
This 486-nucleotide ribosomal RNA is filed under the name uncultured bacterium. RNAcentral's name for it is "bacterial SSU rRNA". It matches the Rfam family "Bacterial small subunit ribosomal RNA", at positions 17 to 518 of the family's 1533-position model. The record is from RNAcentral.